RNAcentral lists this ribosomal RNA (891 nucleotides) under uncultured Bacteroidota bacterium. Its description in RNAcentral is "bacterial SSU rRNA". It matches the Rfam family "Bacterial small subunit ribosomal RNA", at positions 32 to 916 of the family's 1533-position model. Lineage: Bacteria; Pseudomonadati; Bacteroidota. The record is from RNAcentral.
AACGCUAGCUACAGGCUUAACACAUGCAAGUCUAGGGGCAGCAUCAUCAAAGCUUGCUUUGAUGGAUGGCGACCGGCGCACGGGUGAGUAACACGUAUCCAACCUGCCGACAACACUGGGAUAGCCUUUCGAAAGAAAGAUUAAUACCGGAUGGUAUAGUUUUCCCGCAUGGGGUGACUAUUAAAGAAUUUCGGUUGUCGAUGGGGAUGCGUUCCAUUAGGCAGUUGGCGGGGUAACGGCCCACCAAACCAACGAUGGAUAGGGGUUCUGAGAGGAAGGUCCCCCACAUUGGAACUGAGACACGGUCCAAGCUCCUACGGGAGGCAGCAGUGAGGAAUAUUGGUCAAUGGACGAGAGUCUGAACCAGCCAAGUAGCGUGAAGGAUGACUGCCCUAUGGGUUGUAAACUUCUUUUAUACGGGAAUAAAGUGAGCCACGUGUGGCUUUUUGUAUGUACCGUAUGAAUAAGGAUCGGCUAACUCCGUGCCAGCAGCCGCGGUAAUACGGAGGAUCCGAGCGUUAUCCGGAUUUAUUGGGUUUAAAGGGAGCGUAGGCGGGUUGUUAAGUCAGCUGUGAAAGUUUGCGGCUCAACCGUAAAAUUGCAGUUGAUACUGGCGACCUUGAGUGCAACAGAGGUAGGCGGAAUUCGUGGUGUAGCGGUGAAAUGCUUAGAUAUCACGAAGAACUCCGAUUGCGAAGGCAGCUUACUGGAUUGUAACUGACGCUGAUGCUCGAAAGUGUGGGUAUCAAACAGGAUUAGAUACCCUGGUAGUCCACACAGUAAACGAUGAAUACUCGCUGUUGGCGAUAUACAGUCAGCGGCCAAGCGAAAGCAUUAAGUAUUCCACCUGGGGAGUACGCCGGCAACGGUGCAACUCAAAUGAAUUGACGG